This 301-nucleotide ribosomal RNA is filed under the name uncultured bacterium. RNAcentral's name for it is "partial 16S ribosomal RNA". It matches the Rfam family "Bacterial small subunit ribosomal RNA", at positions 509 to 807 of the family's 1533-position model. The record is from RNAcentral.
CAGCCGCCGCGGUAAUACGAAGGGGGCUAGCGUUGUUCGGAUUUACUGGGCGUAAAGCGCACGUAGGCGGAUUCUUAAGUCAGAGGUGAAAUCCCAAGGCUCAACCCCGGAACUGCCUUUGAUACUGGGUAUCUCGAGUCCGGAAGAGGUGAGUGGAAUUCCGAGUGUAGAGGUGAAAUUCGUAGAUAUUCGGAGGAACACCAGUGGCGAAGGCGGCUCACUGGUCCGGUACUGACGCUGAGGUGCGAAAGCGUGGGGAGCAAACAGGAUUAGAUACCCCUGUAGUCCCUGUCUCUUAUAC